UUGUAUCAUUAAAAAUGAAGUUCUGGGGGGAUAUUUGGAAAACAAAAAGACAUGCAAACAAAUAACUUAUUCCUUUUUCCAUAUUUGUAUAGCCUUCUAGAAACAGAAAUACCAGUAGUUUAUCGCCUCAGGGAGGAUAACCAUCGCGAAUUUUUAGGCUUCCUAAUCUUAUGAAUGUUGUUUAUUUGUAACAAGUCAUUCUUUCUAGUUUUGCAGACUGGCAAACAGGUCUUUUACAUUCAGGAAUAUAUUUCUGUUAUCUUUUAAUCCCAUGCAAUGGGGCAAGGGGCAUGGGAAGUGAAAUAUAGGGAGAUUAGUAUUUCUGUACAAGUACUUUACAUUGAAAUAAGGUAUCAUUUAUUUUCCUGUUAAAGAAAUGAUAUGCUCAGAAUUGCAGGUAUACCUUGAAAAAAAUAAAAACUCGACUCUC
Molecule: long non-coding RNA, 430 nt
Filed under: Bos taurus (domestic cattle)
Lineage: Eukaryota; Metazoa; Chordata; Mammalia; Artiodactyla; Bovidae
Description: long non-coding RNA NONBTAT013779
Source: RNAcentral